GGCCGAUCAGGCCGUUGGCGAGGUAACGGCUCACCAAACCUUUGACCGGUACGGGCCAUGAGAGUGGUAGCCCGGAGAUGGACACUGAGAUAGGGGUCCAGGCCCUACGGGGCGCAGCAGGCGCGAAAACUCCGCACUGUACGUAAGUACGAUGGGGUUACCUCGAGUGUAGUCUGUAAAAGAUUGCUUUUCCAUAGAGUAAUAUCCUGUGGGAAUAAGAGGGGGGCAAGACUGGUGUCAGCCGCCGCGGUAACACCAGCCCCUCGAGUGGUAGGGACUUUUAUUUGGCCUAAAGCGUUCGUAGCCGUCUGUAACCGUUGCCCGUUAAAUCCAGCGUCUCAAGCGUUGGACUGCGGGCGAUACCUUACAGAUUGAGGGUGGGAUAGGUAAGCGGUAUUUCUGGGGUAGGGGCGAAAUCCUUUGAUCCCAGGAGGACCACCAGUGGCGAAGGCUGCUUACUAGAACACGCCUGACGGUCAGGAACGAAAGCUGGGGUAGCGAACCGGAUUAGAUACCCGGGUAGUCCCAGCUGUAAACGAUGCGCGCUAGGUGUUGGGUCGGCCAUGCGCCGCCCCAGUGCCGCAGGGAAGCCGUUAAGCGCGCCGCCUGGGGAGUACGGCCGCAAGGCUGAAACUUAAAGGAAUUGGCGGGGGAGCAC
Molecule: ribosomal RNA, 658 nt
Filed under: uncultured archaeon
Lineage: Archaea
Description: bacterial SSU rRNA
Rfam family: Archaeal small subunit ribosomal RNA
Source: RNAcentral